UACGUAGGGGGCAAGCGUUUGUCCGGAUUUAUUGGGCGUAAAGAGCGUGUAGGCGGCCAUACAGGUCAGCUGUGAAAACUCGAGGCUCAACCUCGAGACGUCGGUUGAAACCGUAUGGCUAGAGUCCGGAAGAGGAGAGUGGAAUUCCCGGUGUAGCGGUGAAAUGCGCAGAUAUCGGGAAGAACACCCGUGGCGAAGGCGGCUCUCUGGGACGGUACUGACGCUGAGACGCGGAAAAGCG
RNAcentral lists this ribosomal RNA (241 nucleotides) under uncultured bacterium. RNAcentral's name for it is "partial 16S ribosomal RNA". It matches the Rfam family "Bacterial small subunit ribosomal RNA", at positions 524 to 763 of the family's 1533-position model. The record is from RNAcentral.